Molecule: ribosomal RNA, 1095 nt
Filed under: uncultured bacterium
Lineage: Bacteria
Description: bacterial SSU rRNA
Rfam family: Bacterial small subunit ribosomal RNA
Source: RNAcentral
CGGCGUGGAUGAGGCAUGCAAGUCGAACGAAGCGAUCCGGGCUUGCUCGGAGAGCUUAGUGGCGGAAGGGUCAGUAAUACUUGGGUAAUCUACCUUCGACCCGGGAAUAACAGCUGGAAACGGCUGCUAAUACCGGAUGAGGUGACGGGAAGCAUUUUCCGCUCAUCAAAGUGGGGGACCUCUUCGGAGGCCUCGCGGUUGGAGAGGAGCCCAAGGGAUAUCAGCUUGUUGGUGUGGUAAUGGCGCACCAAGGCUAAGACGUCUAGGCGGAUCGAGAGGUUGACCGCCGACACUGGGACUGAGAACUGCCCAGACUCCUACGGGAGGCUGCAGUCGAGAAUCAUUCGCAAUGGGCGAAAGCCUGACGAUGCGACGCCGUGUGAGCGAAGAAGGCCUUCGGGUUGUAAAGCUCUUUCGCAUUGGAACAAGGAAGCGUGGCAAAUAGCUGCGUUUUUUGAGGGUACUUUGUAAAGAAGCACCGGCUAACUCCGUGCCAGCAGCUGCGGUAAUACGGAGGGUGCAAGCGUUAAUCGGAUUUAUUGGGCGUAAAGGGCGUCUAGGUGGAAGAGUAGGUCAGACGUGAAAUCCCAGGGCUCAACUCUGGAAAUGCGUUUGAAACCACUUUUCUUGAGGGUAGGCGGGGGAAACGGAAUUCCACGUGUAGCGGUGAAAUGCGUAGAUAUGUGGAAGAACACCGGUGGCGAAGGCGGUUUCCUAGCUUAUACCUGACACUGAAGCGCGAAAGCGAGGGGAGCAAACAGGAUUAGAUACCCUGGUAGUCCUCGCCGUAAACGAUGCACACUAGAUGUAGUCGGAAUCAACCCCGGCUGUGUCGUAGCUAACGUGUUAAGUGUGCCGCCUGGGGAGUACGCUCGCAAGGGUGAAACUCAAAAGAAUUGACGGGGGCCCGCACAAGCAGUGGAGCAUGUGGUUUAAUUCGAUGCAACGCGAAGAACCUUACCCAGACUUGACAUGUAAGAGACCGCUCCAGAGAUGGAGUUUCCCUUCGGGGCUGUUACACAGGUGCUGCAUGGCUGUCGUCAGCUCGUGCCGUGAGGUGUCGGGUUAAGUCCCGCAACGAGCGCAACCCUUAUC